RNAcentral lists this ribosomal RNA (422 nucleotides) under uncultured bacterium. RNAcentral describes it as "bacterial SSU rRNA". It matches the Rfam family "Bacterial small subunit ribosomal RNA", at positions 355 to 774 of the family's 1533-position model. The record is from RNAcentral.
UGAGGAAUAUUGGGCAAUGCCCGCAAGGGUGACCCAGCAACGCCGCGUGGAGGAUGAAUGUCGUAAGAUUGUAAACUCCUGUUAGAGGGGAAGAAUAGUACCGGUUGGACCGGUAUAUGACUGUACCCUCAGAGAAAGCCCCGGCUAACUACGUGCCAGCAGCCGCGGUAAUACGUAGGGGGCAAGCGUUGUCCGGAUUUACUGGGUGUAAGGGGCGCGCAGGCGGGAUAAAAAGUCAGUGGUGAAAUCCUACAGCUUAACUGUAGAACUGCCUUUGAUACUUUUAUUCUUGAGUUCGGGAGAGAGAGACGGAAUUCCAGGUGUAGUGGUGAAAUACGUAGAUAUCUGGAAGAACACCAGUUGCGAAGGCGGUCUCUUGGUCCGACACUGACGCUGAGGCGCGAAAGCGUGGGGAGCAAACA